Molecule: non-coding RNA, 317 nt
Organism: Paramuricea clavata
Lineage: Eukaryota; Metazoa; Cnidaria; Anthozoa; Malacalcyonacea; Plexauridae
Source: the annotation of a GenBank genome assembly
GCUCCUUCGGCGCUCGUUUCGCCAUUGGUUAGCACCCCCCCAAAAAACUUUGCUGGAUCCAUCACUGGACCUCUCUGCUCCCGCCCGCACUAAAUGCCUGCUGAUUCCAUACUGGAAGCAAGUGCAAAGGGGGCCAGUGCACCCACCUCAUGCCACAUGUGGGCGUGCCACAUGUCAUCCCAUACUGCAUUGUUCCAGAAAAGAACCACCCUGCACCCAAGGAUGAAAUUUCUGCCUUCUGGGAGGACAAAAAAUUGUUUCUGAUAACAGCAAGUGUAUCCAGACAUGCAUAUUUAGGCAAGUUAACAAAGUUUAUA